This 661-nucleotide ribosomal RNA is filed under the name Escherichia coli. RNAcentral describes it as "bacterial SSU rRNA". It matches the Rfam family "Bacterial small subunit ribosomal RNA", at positions 859 to 1520 of the family's 1533-position model. Lineage: Bacteria; Pseudomonadati; Pseudomonadota; Gammaproteobacteria; Enterobacterales; Enterobacteriaceae. The record is from RNAcentral.
GUUAAGUCGACCGCCUGGGGAGUACGGCCGCAAGGUUAAAACUCAAAUGAAUUGACGGGGGCCCGCACAAGCGGUGGAGCAUGUGGUUUAAUUCGAUGCAACGCGAAGAACCUUACCUGGUCUUGACAUCCACGGAAGUUUUCAGAGAUGAGAAUGUGCCUUCGGGAACCGUGAGACAGGUGCUGCAUGGCUGUCGUCAGCUCGUGUUGUGAAAUGUUGGGUUAAGUCCCGCAACGAGCGCAACCCUUAUCCUUUGUUGCCAGCGGUCCGGCCGGGAACUCAAAGGAGACUGCCAGUGAUAAACUGGAGGAAGGUGGGGAUGACGUCAAGUCAUCAUGGCCCUUACGACCAGGGCUACACACGUGCUACAAUGGCGCAUACAAAGAGAAGCGACCUCGCGAGAGCAAGCGGACCUCAUAAAGUGCGUCGUAGUCCGGAUUGGAGUCUGCAACUCGACUCCAUGAAGUCGGAAUCGCUAGUAAUCGUGGAUCAGAAUGCCACGGUGAAUACGUUCCCGGGCCUUGUACACACCGCCCGUCACACCAUGGGAGUGGGUUGCAAAAGAAGUAGGUAGCUUAACCUUCGGGAGGGCGCUUACCACUUUGUGAUUCAUGACUGGGGUGAAGUCGUAACAAGGUAACCGUAGGGGAACCUGCGGUUG